AGAGUUUGAUCAUGGCUCAGAACGAACGCUGGCGGCGUGCUUAACACAUGCAAGUCGAGUGCGCGCCUGUAGCAAUACAGGUGGCGCACGGCGCACGGGUGCGUAACACGUGGGCAAUCUGCCCUCUGAUGGGGAAUAACCCGCCGAAAGGCGGGCUAAUACCGCAUAACAUUCCUUGGUCUCAUGAUCGAGGACUCAAA
This 200-nucleotide ribosomal RNA is filed under the name uncultured bacterium. RNAcentral's name for it is "partial 16S ribosomal RNA". It matches the Rfam family "Bacterial small subunit ribosomal RNA", at positions 8 to 205 of the family's 1533-position model. The record is from RNAcentral.